This 27-nucleotide non-coding RNA is filed under the name Rattus norvegicus (Norway rat). The record is from RNAcentral. Lineage: Eukaryota; Metazoa; Chordata; Mammalia; Rodentia; Muridae.
UGGGACAAAGGUGAACAUGAACAAGGA